Molecule: ribosomal RNA, 273 nt
Filed under: uncultured bacterium
Lineage: Bacteria
Description: partial 16S ribosomal RNA
Rfam family: Bacterial small subunit ribosomal RNA
Source: RNAcentral
UACAGAGGGUGCAAGCGUUAAUCGGAAUUACUGGGCGUAAAGCGAGCGUAGGUGGCUUGAUAAGUCAGAUGUGAAAGCCCCGGGCUUAACCUGGGAACGGCAUCUGAUACUGUUAGGCUAGAGUAGGUGAGAGGAAGGUAGAAUUCCAGGUGUAGCGGUGAAAUGCGUAGAGAUCUGGAGGAAUACCGAUGGCGAAGGCAGCCUUCUGGCAUCAUACUGACACUGAGGUUCGAAAGCGUGGGUAGCAAACAGGAUUAGAUACCCGGGUAGUCC